Molecule: ribosomal RNA, 1233 nt
Filed under: metagenome
Description: bacterial LSU rRNA
Rfam family: Bacterial large subunit ribosomal RNA
Source: RNAcentral
UGAAUACGAGAUGCUACGGCGUCGAAGCAGUCUAUGUCAUACUUCCAAGAAAAGCUCGCACUGUCAUAAACAAAUAAUGCCUGUACCAUAACCGACACAGGUGGGGGUAGAGUAUACUAAGGGGCGCGAGAUAACUCUCUCUAAGGAACUCGGCAAAAUGACUCCGUAACUUCGGGAGAAGGAGUGCCUUAUUUAUAAGGUUGCAAUAACAAGAUCCAAGCAACUGUUUAUCAAAAACACAGGUCUCCGCUAAGUCGUAAGACGAUGUAUGGGGGCUGACGCCUGCCCAGUGCCAGAAGGUUAAAGAAGUUGGUUAGCAUUCGCGAAGCUGAUAACUGAAGCCCUGGUGAACGGCGGCCGUAACUAUAACGGUCCUAAGGUAGCGAAAUUCCUUGUCGGGUAAGUUCCGACCCGCACGAAAGGCGUAAUGAUUUGGAUACUGUCUCGGAGAGGGGCUCGGUGAAAUAGACUUGUCUGUGAAGAUGCGGACUACCUGCACCAGGACAGAAAGACCCUAUGAAGCUUUACUGUAACUUGAGAUUGAAAUUGGACUUUACUUGCGCAGUAUAGGUGGGAGGCGUUGAUAAUAUUCUUGCGGGAUUAUUUGAGCCAUCAGUGAGAUACCACUCUUGUAAUGUUAGAUUUCUAACUUUGUAUCAUUAUCUGGUCAAAGGACAGUUUCAGGCGGGCAGUUUGACUGGGGCGGUCGCCUCCUAAACGGUAACGGAGGCGCACAAAGGUUUCCUCUGAACGGGUAGAAAUCGUAUCUAGAGUGUAAAGGCAUAAGGAAGCUUGACUGUGAGACCUACAAGUCGAGCAGGGACGAAAGUCGGUCUUAGUGAUCUGACGGUGCUGAGUGGAAAGGCCGUCACUCAACGGAUAAAAGUUACUCUAAGGAUAACAGGCUGAUCUCCCCCAAGAGUUCACAUCGACGGGGAGGGUUGGCACCUCGAUGUCGGCUCAUCGCAUCCUGGGGCGGUAGUACGUCCCAAGGGUUGGGCUGUUCGCCCAUGAAAGCGGUACGCGAGCUGGGUUCAGAACGUCGUGAGACAGUUCGGUCCAUAUCCGGUGUAGGCGUUAGAAUAUUGAGAGGAGCCUUCUUUAGUACGAGAGGACCGAGAAGGACAUACCUCUGGUGUACCAGUUAUCGUGCCAACGGUAAACGCUGGGUAGCUAUGUAUGGAGUGGAUAACCGCUGAAAGCAUCUAAGUGGGAAGCCCACCUCAAGAUAAG